This 253-nucleotide ribosomal RNA is filed under the name uncultured bacterium. RNAcentral describes it as "partial 16S ribosomal RNA". It matches the Rfam family "Bacterial small subunit ribosomal RNA", at positions 524 to 776 of the family's 1533-position model. The record is from RNAcentral.
UACGUAGGGUGCAAGCGUUAAUCGGAAUUACUGGGCGUAAAGGGCUCGUAGGCGGCCAACUAAGUCAGACGUGAAAUCCCUCGGCUUAACCGGGGAACUGCGUCUGAUACUGGAUGGCUUGAGUGUGGGAGAGGGAUGCGGAAUUCCAGGUGUAGCGGUGAAAUGCGUAGAUAUUGGGAGGAACACCAGUGGCGAAGGCGGCUCACUGGACCGGAACUGACGCUGAGGCGCGAAAGCGUGGGGAGCAAACAGG